Molecule: long non-coding RNA, 1646 nt
Organism: Lutra lutra (Eurasian river otter)
Lineage: Eukaryota; Metazoa; Chordata; Mammalia; Carnivora; Mustelidae
Exons: 5
Source: RefSeq, a predicted model, not a curated record
GGUGCCCCAGUAAUUUCAUUAGUUAAAAAAGAUUUUUCUUUCUUUCCGGCGGCCGCUUGUGUUCUCCUCAUGGGCUGCCCCUCUGAUGUCCUUAUCAUAGGAACGGAUCACUUGGCACUCUUACAAAGUGUUUAUUAUUGUUGUGUCUGCAUAUUCUGAAAAAUUUACCCAAAGUUAUACAUUUUUUUCCCCAGGGCUUUUCCCACUUAAUGUUUUUAAGAUCUGGUAAUAUUGCUCUUGGGAUGGAGCUGAUGGCUUCUAAUUCCUGCACAGUGUCGGUGGAACACCUCCACCCUCUUUUACUCACCCAGUUCCCCGGGGAGGGGGGGGCAGCCGGGGGGCAGCUCUAGGACUGUGCACAUUCUGUGUGAUCCUUACAAGCUGAGAAUUCCCUUGAGGUAUUUACCCAUGAAUGAGGUACUGCUGACAGGGAUCACGCGAAGGUAUUUCAUUACUAGGACUGCUGAACCCACUUUAACUCCCCGGAGCUGUCUCCCUAGGUCCGUACCUCUCCACAUCUCCACCGGCACUUAGUGUUGCCUUCUGUUCAAAAUGUUGCCAUUCUCAUGCGCUCACGUGGUCUCUCUAUUGCUGUUCACCAUCAUUAUUGACAUUAGAAAGGAAUUCCCAAGUGUUAGAAAAUUACACUGUCCUUUCUGAGGUCAUGCUGUGUGACUAAUGUCUUCUCUUAUAUAGUCUUGUUUUCAGCAGCUACUGUCAAGCUUUCAAUGUUUCUGCUAUUUGCUGUACCUACGGCUGCUCUACGCCGGGUACACAGAAUGCAGCUGGCUUGUGUCCGUGAUGCGUGUGUAACUUACAAAGAGGGCACUGAGCUCCGAAUAAUCACGGUUUCUUCUCCCUGUUGUUCUUCCCUCCUUUUUUUCCUCUCUCUCUUCUCUUGUUAUAUUUUCCUUAAAGAAAUACCUGUCUUACCAUAUUACAGAUUCACCUUCUUAAUUUUUCAAUGUUUCCCUGACGUUUUACGUGUUUGUUGAGAUUUGCCACCAGAAGGUUCCCAGGCAUCCUUCCUCAGGGAGGAGCUGAGCUACUGUGUACAAGGAAGCAGAGUCCAGGUUGGCGUGGCGGUGCUGGGCCUGGACUCAGAAUUCUCAAGUCCGGGAUUCAAGUGUACGACAGUUGGCUGAACUUAACAAGAAAUGGACAAGCAAAGCAAUGCAGGGCCUGAUUUGUAAAGGACACACAGUUUACUACUUUGAAAAUAGGAGUUCUGGUUCAACACGGCAACACUGGAAGAUCCUGAACUGCCCUGGACCCACAGACCCUACAACUGCAUAAGGAAUAAUUUCCUCUGAAAAAGACCUAGAAACUAGCUGAGCACCUCCUAUCUGUGAGGUAAAGAAGAAGAAAAGACCAGCAUUGAAGGAGAUGCUGAGGGCAUCUUUGUGGACCCCCCCACCAAAGGAUUUGCAAACCCUGGUUCAAGGCCAGGGGCACCAGGCUGCAAGGAGCCAAAAGCACCAGGAGAAGGAAGUGCGUGGAUGAGGACAGUCAGAAGCACCAGAGACAGCCAAAGGACUCCUCAUAUGUUUCCACCCACAUCCUUGUGAGCAGAGGAUAGAGAGGGCGUGUGCCCCCCACGCAGGGAAACUGGGGUGGUGGGGGGAGAAGGUUAGCCUAGAGAGACC